CUUUAGUAACCUGGCACAACGACUUGGUAUACUUGAGGCUAUCUAACGUUUCGCGACAUAGACUCGCACAUGACAUGUCUUGAUGUCUCUGUUUAUUUGGAAAAGCAAAUUAAACACCAGAUAAGUCCAGCGUUUGAGACAGGAUUAACUGGAAGUGAAAGUAAGCCGGACAACUACGUGCCGCAUCAAGACGCGACUCAAAAAAGCGAGCAACCCAACGCAUCAGAGACGGCUGCAUCCGAAACAGAUGUUCCGUUUUUUGGACCUGCAAACUGUCUAGAUCGUGGGGAAAUACAGUUAUCACAACAUCAACAGAUAAACCAAGUCAUUGAAGAGGCAGCAACAGCCGCUAGGGAUCGCCGGUCGCCACGCACACGCACACUCGACAGGCUCAUGACGUUGACGUCAUUUAUUUCAUCAUUUCAUCGAAAACAUAGCGUGCAGAGAGCACGCAGUCGAUAUCGUUCCCAACAUGUCAUCAAGAAUUUCCCGUAUAAAACGCUUAUUUUGUUGAUUCUUUCACUUGUGUUCAUUACUACGAACAUACUAUCCAUGCUUUUGUCGAUACUGUACCCAAACAUUAUUUACAAUGAUUCGCAGCAAUAUGUUGUUUUUACAGUGUUUAAUCGGCUUAUAUUUAUUAACAAUUGUAUAAAUCAUUUUGCGUAUGCUUUUCUUAAUAGAAAUUUUCGAAAAACAAUAAAAAGUAUCAGUCCUAGAAUAAAGGCAUAUAUGUGUAUGUAGUAUCAUGAAAAUCGAAAUGCUUGGAUACUGUGUUUCAAUGCUAUAUUACUUUUGUUUUUAGUAUGCAUGAUUUGUUAAUUUAUUUCAAGGCGACAUAGAUAUAGAUCUAGGAAGUACUUUGCAGUUCUCUUUUCGCUCGUGUUGUUUCAACGUUAUACAAUGAAAGAAGAAUAGUAUUAUGAUUAUUUAGACUGUGAACAUUAGGCGUAUAUAAAAUAUAAUGUCAAAGAUAACCAUUAUACAUAGCAACCACAAUUAAACGUUUUCUAAUUUGUAUUUUCAUUUCUUCGUCCGGUUGCCACUUUGUAAAACAGCUUUACACAAACUAUUAAAUGAAACGUGUAAUAAUUUUAAUGUGUUCUUCUUUUUAAAAAUGUACAUUGUUUUGUCAAAAUGACAUUAUUUGAUACAAACCAAACACUAUUGUUUAUAACCACUCGUUUACAUGUAAGCAUUUGUAUAGACACCUUAAUUUUAUGUUGACAUUGUUCGUAAAAACAACAAAAAGGACAAAGCAAAUUUCAUACAAGUGAUUUUGUAUACAUAUGUAAAAACACGCACAAGCUAAAUUAAUAAUAAGCGAAGUAAUCGUGAGAUAAAAGACAUCUUUUUUGUAAAACCGCUAGAAAGGAAAUUUAAAUUGGUUUUACAACAACGUCAUUACACAUCGGAUAUACCAUUAAGGAUUAUUUCUUGUGAAAAAUUGUCUAACCGCCUUAUUUGUUUGGUAUUUUCUUCCAAUAUUUGGUGUUGCGCUAUGAAUGUAUAUCGUUCGCCUGGCGAUAUGUAGAGCCAAGGUCCGGUCGCAACUUUUAAACCAUUAUCAAGAUAUUCUCUGAUGACGCAAAGUACGGGUUAUACCCAAGAAACGAACUCGAAAUAGUUUUAACCAAUCAAUGGCUUUUAUGUAAUAAAGGCUAAAUAAAUUGGUUUAAUAGACACACGAUUAAUUCAUUUAUUACUACCUAUCAAUUUUCUUAUUUUCAGGGAUUGUUCAUUCUUUCCUCGAUAUUCCUUAAAUUAAAAUGCUAACGUUAAAUGUUCAAUUUAAUAUCUGCGAUUAAAGAGAACCGUGCAUAAAUUAAAGCAUCCCUGUUAUGCUGCAGCAUUGCGUUUAUUUGCUUUAUUUAUUAUAUAUGCAUAUGAAAUAACAGUAUGUUUGUUCAAUUGACAUUUGUGUUGUCAAUAUGUUUUUAAAUACAUAAAUAGUAUUCGCAGGAUAUAUUAUCAACAAUCCUCUUCUCGUCGGUGAUGGUAAACGGAAAUAAAUCAGGGACGACACGUUCCGCUAAACUUGA
Dreissena polymorpha is the source of this 2042-nucleotide long non-coding RNA. RefSeq lists it as uncharacterized. The transcript is spliced from 2 exons. The record is from RefSeq and is a predicted model, not a curated record. Lineage: Eukaryota; Metazoa; Mollusca; Bivalvia; Myida; Dreissenidae.